CCUACGGGAGGCAGCAGUGGGGAAUUUUGGACAAUGGGCGCAAGCCUGAUCCAGCAAUGCCGCGUGAGUGAAGAAGGCCUUCGGGUUGUAAAGCUCUUUUGUCAGGGAAGAAACGGCUGAGGAUAAUACCUUCGGCUAAUGACGGUACCUGAAGAAUAAGCACCGGCUAACUACGUGCCAGCAGCCGCGGUAAUACGUAGGGUGCAAGCGUUAAUCGGAAUUACUGGGCGUAAAGCGUGCGCAGGCGGUUUUGUAAGUCUGUCGUGAAAUCCCCGGGCUCAACCUGGGAAUUGCGAUGGAGACUGCAAGGCUGGAGUCUGGCAGAGGGGGGUAGAAUUCCACGUGUAGCAGUGAAAUGCGUAGAGAUGUGGAGGAACACCGAUGGCGAAGGCAGCUCCCUGGGUCAAGACUGACGCUCAUGCACGAAAGCGUGGGGAGCAAACAGGAUUAGAUACCCUGGUAGUCCACGCCCUAAACGAUGUCUACUAGUUGUCGGGUCUUAAUUGACUUGGUAACGCAGCUAACGCGUGAAGUAGACCGCCUGGGGGAGGACGGUCGCGAGAGUAACGUACGAACGAAGUAGUACGCGAGAGAGAGCGACGACGACGACGAGGGAGGAGGNG
RNAcentral lists this ribosomal RNA (623 nucleotides) under uncultured bacterium. RNAcentral's name for it is "bacterial SSU rRNA". The stretch from base 1 to 542 matches the Rfam family "Bacterial small subunit ribosomal RNA", at positions 338 to 873 of the family's 1533-position model. The record is from RNAcentral.